Molecule: unclassified non-coding RNA, 184 nt
Filed under: uncultured fungus
Lineage: Eukaryota; Fungi
Description: sequence contains ITS1, 5.8S rRNA gene
Source: RNAcentral
CCGGGAUUGAUUUCUUUUGGAAUCAUCUCCAUGACCCUUUUUGUUUAUUCAAAAAUGUCUUUUCUUCGGCAAGACGUCUGAUUCGAAAGGAUUGGCCAUUGGUGCUUCUAAAGUACGAAUGUGUUUGCUUGCCGAAGUCUUUACUCUUUUUUCUUGAAGUCUGAGUAUACAAACAAAUAAAUUA